Non-coding RNA from Lyngbya majuscula, 79 nucleotides. The record is from Rfam. NCBI's taxonomy places the organism in Bacteria, Bacillati, Cyanobacteriota, Cyanophyceae, Oscillatoriales, Microcoleaceae.
AGGAGCCGUAUGAGGGGAAACCUUCACGUACGGUUCUGAAGGAGAGGUGCCCCGGAUAAUACCGGGCAUCGACUCUAAC